UACGCAGGGGGCAAGCGUUGUCCGGAUUUAUUGGGCGUAAAGAGCGUGUAGGCGGCCAAGCAGGUCAGCUGUGAAAACUCGAGGCUCAACCUCGAGACGUCGGUUGAAACCGCUUGGCUAGAGUCCGGAAGAGGAGAGUGGAAUUCCCGGUGUAGCGGUGAAAUGCGCAGAUAUCGGGAAGAACACCCGUGGCGAAGGCGGCUCUCUGGGACGGUACUGACGCUGAGACGCGAAAGCGUGGGGAGCGAACAGG
RNAcentral lists this ribosomal RNA (253 nucleotides) under uncultured bacterium. RNAcentral describes it as "partial 16S ribosomal RNA". It matches the Rfam family "Bacterial small subunit ribosomal RNA", at positions 524 to 776 of the family's 1533-position model. The record is from RNAcentral.